UGGGGAAUUUUGGACAAUGGGCGAAAGCCUGAUCCAGCAACGCCGCGUGUGUGAAGAAGGCCUUCGGGUUGUAAAGCACUUUUGUCCGGAAAGAAAUCCUUGGCUCUAAUGCAGUCGGGGGAUGACGGUACCGGAAGAAUAAGCACCGGCUAACUACGUGCCAGCAGCCGCGGUAAUACGUAGGGUGCAAGCGUUAAUCGGAAUUACUGGGCGUAAAGCGUGCGCAGGCGGUUUGCUAAGACCGAUGUGAAAUCCCCGGGCUCAACCUGGGAACUGCAUUGGUGACUGGCAGGCUAGAGUAUGGCAGAGGGGGGUAGAAUUCCACGUGUAGCAGUGAAAUGCGUAGAGAUGUGGAGGAAUACCGAUGGCGAAGGCAGCCCCCUGGGCCAAUACUGACGCUCAUGCACGAAAGCGUGGGGAGCAAACAGGAUUAGAUACCCUGGUAGUCCACGCCCUAAACGAUGUCAACUAGUUGUUGGGGAUUCAUUUCCUUAGUAACGUAGCUAACGCGUGAAGUUGACCGCCUGGGGAGUACGGUCGCAAGAUUAAAACUCAAAUGAAUUGACGGGGUCAUAGCUGUUUCCU
RNAcentral lists this ribosomal RNA (585 nucleotides) under uncultured bacterium. RNAcentral describes it as "partial 16S ribosomal RNA". It matches the Rfam family "Bacterial small subunit ribosomal RNA", at positions 355 to 1375 of the family's 1533-position model. The record is from RNAcentral.